GUACCAUGCAGCCACUGGCUCCAAAGGGACCUUCUACCAGGGAAUUUGAUUACUUGGAUAGAGCCCUUCUGUCGACCACUGACCUCAGGGCUAGCUCCCCAAAACGUCGCCUUCUCUACGCUCGUUUCUGCAAAGUAGCAACAGAACAACUUCCAGUAAAAGAAGGCACUGAGGUUUAAGUGCUACGUGGGAGCAGUUGCCGAUUUUUGCAAUGGGAGGCUGCAUAGAUUCAAGGACUUCCUUGAGUGCUCCAGGAGCUUGUCAUUCCAGAGACAGAGCAGCCCAGAAGUCCUGGGAUUUACACCUCUAGUAGAAACCCUCAACCAGAGAAGGAUGGAAGUCAAUGGGCAGAGUGCUCGGGAGACCUUUACCUGUUUUACCUGAUUACAUCCUCUGAGGUGGGUUGGGAAGCUCCAUUCUGUAUCACCCUCGCUCAAGGACCUGGACUGAAGGAUUUCUGCUUUCAAGAAGAAAAAAAAAAAUAGAAGACAUGUUUACUAAUACACUGGUAAUUAUUUCUAUUCAUAUUUUAUUGGCCAAAGCGAGUCAUAUGGGUAUACAACAUAAAAUGAGGUGCAGAAUUUCAAUCCUAUCAUUUGCUUGGAAGGUGGAGAGUCAUAUUUGGAGAACAUGAGUUCUAUAAUUGUUGGAUGUAACAGUCUAUACAUGUCCACUAAGUCAAGUUUGCUAAUCGUGUUUAAAUAAUCUAUAUCCUUACUCAUGUAUCUGUUCACUUCUUGCAGUUUUGUCAAUCUUAGUUUUAUAUUUUUGAAGCUAUAUUAUGUGUACAAGUUUUAUAAUCAUUGUACUUUCUCAUGAGUUAAACUUUUUAUCAUUAUGAUAAUGCUUUUUGCCUUAAAGUCUACUUUGUCUAAUAUUAAUAUAGAUAACAUUAAUUUUUGUUAAUAUUUAUAUUUUUCCACUUUUUAAUUUCAACAUUAUAAUACAAAUGUUUUAGGUAUGUUUCUUAUAAACAGUAUGCAGAUUGUUAUCCAAUUCAAUCUUUGAUUUUUAAUUGAACUAUUUAAUUUAUUUACAUUUAAUGUAAUUACUGAUAUAUUUGAAUUUAAAUAUACCGUCUUCUUAAGUGUUUUCAAUUGUCUCACAUGCUCUCUGUUCUCUUUAUCCUCACUUUUUGCCUGCUUUUGGAAAAUAUUGUUUUUGCCUCCAUUGUUUUGGAAGUUACAUAUCUUUUUAGUAGUCUUUUAGAGUUUAUCCUAUAGAUCACAGUAUGGGUCUCUGAGUUAGCAAAGGCUAAUAAUGUUAAUUGGCACUUUCAUUUUCUUCCAUAAUAGUACAAGGACCUUAGAACGUUUCAAUUCAUUUACUUCCUCUCCUGAUUUGUAUGCACUUUUAAUAUUUUUAAUUUUUUAAAUCUUCAGCACUGUGUUACAUUGUUUCAUACGGUAUAAUUCAUUUAGACUUCCUCAAAUGGACCUUCGUGCUGGACCUCAUUUCUUUCUGCAUCUAUAUAACCUAUCAUCCUUAAUCAUCUUCCUUCUGCUUAAAGAACAUCCUUUAGUAUUUGAUGCUGGUAAAGAAUCCUGAAAAUGUCUUAAUUUCACUUUUAUUAUUGAAGGCUAUUUUCACUGGACAUAGAAUUCUAAUGUUGACAGUUAUUUUAUUUCAGCACUUGAAAGACAUUUAAAUUCCACUAAUUUCUAGUUUCCAUUGUUUCUAUCAAGAGGUAAGCUAACAGUCUAUUACAUUUUUUCAAGUAAUGACAGCUGCUUGUAAUUUUUUUUUCCCUUUGUCUUUGGUUUUCAUCUGUCUUAUUGUGAUGUACCUAGGUGUGGCUUUUAAAAAUUUCUCCUGCUUGCAGCUCCCAGGGCUUCUGAGAUUUGUGGCUUGUUGUCUUUAAUCAAUUUUGGGAAUUUUUCAACUAUUUUCUCUUCAAAUAUUGAUGCUGCACCAUUCUCUUUCUCUUCUCCUUCUGAAAUUUUAAUUCUCAUUUUAUCUCCAUAUCUCUUACUCUCUGUAGCAUUGCUAUCCUUUUGUCUCUCCAUGUUUCGUCAUGAUGUUGUCUUCUAACCUACUUUCCAGUUCAUCAAUUUUCCCUACAGCUGUGUAUAAUUUUUUGUUAAACCAAGUAAAGAGUAUCCACUGAGCUCUUUGCUUUUGUUAGUAUAUAUUUUAAAUUCUAAAUUGUUCACUGGUUAUUUUUUACAACUUUUUCAUCCUUUUUUAAAGUUUUCAGUUCUCUGCCAAAUUUGUUGAUACUGUCUUUUAUCUCCGUAUGUGUAGUAAACAUAAUUAAUUUAAAGUCCGUAUCUGAUAAAUCCAUUAACUGGAGUUCUGUGGUAUUGUUUCUAUUGUAGUUGUUUCUACUGGAUCUCAUGUUUUCUUAUUUCUUUAUGGGCCUGGUUAUUCUCUUGUGUGCUAAAAUUGUAUAUGAAAAAUUGUUGGUUGAAGUAAAGUAAAACUUAUUGUGUUAUAUUCCUCCUGAGAGUACAGUCAUCCCUCAGUAUCCACAGCAGGAUUGGUUCCAGGACCUACUGCAGAUACCAAAAUCCAUGCAGAUUUCAUUUCCACAAUCAACCCUGUGGAAUCCAUGGAUAUAAAACGUCGACCCUCCAUAUAUAAGUGAGUUUGGCAUCCUGCAACUACUGUCUUUUAUAUUUAUGUUUGGUUGCAGAUGCAGAAUUCACCAAAGCCUAAUCCAGAGCAAGGCCCUAACUCUUCAAUUCUAUGAAGGCUAAGAGAGCUGAGGAAGCUGUAGAAGAAAAACUGCAAGCUAGCAGGGGUUGGUUUAUGAAGUUUAAGGAAAUAAACCAUUCCGUAACAUAAAAGUGUAAGAUAAAGCAGCAAGUGCUGAUGUAGAAGCUGCAGCAAAUUAUUCAGAAGAUCUAGCUGAGAUCAUGGAUGGCGGUGGUUACACUAAACAACAGAGUUCCAGGGUAGACAAACAGCCUUCUAUUGGAAUAAGAUGCCAUCUAGGACUUUCAUAGCUAGAGAAGAGUGGGCUGACUAUAUUUAUUUUAAAAAUCCAUGUAUAGGCUGGGCGCAGUGGCUCACGCCUGUAAUCCCAGCAGCACUUUAGGAGGCUGAGGCAGGUGGGUCACCUGAGGUCAGGAGUUUGAGACCAGCCUGGCCAACAUGGUGAAACCCUGUCUCUACUAAAACUAAAAAAAUUAGCUGGCAUGGUGGCAGGCACCUGUAAUCCCAGCUACUCAGGAGGCUGAGGCAGGAGAAUUGCUUGAACCUGGGAGGCGGAGGUUGUAGUAAGCCGAGAUCGCGCCAUUGCACUCCAGCCUGGAUGACAAGAGCGAAAUUCUGUCCAAAAAAAAAAAAAAAAUCCAUGUAUAAAUGAGCCAUACAGUUCAAACCCAUGUUGUUCAAGGGUCAACUGUAUUUAUAUUUGCUUUUGCAAGAUACCUGGGGAUGUGAGGACCUGGGAUCACCUUUAUCCAAUUUGAAGAAUUAAGCUAAUUGGAUCUCAGCUGAGGCCCCACAAAAUCUCAUCUACUUCCAUCCAAGUCAUCCUGUCUUUUCUCUUUUUUAAAUUUUUUUGGAGGUGGGGUCUCACUGUGCUGCCCAGGCUGGACAACAUAGGUCCAGUGGCACAAACAUAGGUCACUGCAGCCUUGCACUCUUGGGCUGAAGGGAUCUUCCCAAGUAGCUGGGGCUACAAGCACAUGCCACCAUGCUACCAUGCUGCGCUAAUUUUUUCAUUCAGUCUUAAGAUGAAGACUUUCAGGGUCCUAGCCUGCUAUGGGGAGUUAUAUGUCUACCCUCUCCUUUGGUGAGCACCGGAUUCCAACUUGUGUUUAUGUGGCCACACAAAGCUGCCCAGGUGCUGCUUAGUCUCUUCAGUUCUUUUUUUUUUUUUGAGAGGGAGUCUCACUCUGCACUGUGUCGCCCGUGCUGGAGUGCAGUGGCAUGAUCUCGGCUCACUGCAACGUCUGCCUCAUAGGUUCAAGCUCCUCCGCCUCCUGGGAGCCUGGGUGAUUCUCCUGCCUCAGCCUCCCGAGUAGCUGAGAUUAUAGGCACCCGCCACCACACCCAGCUAAUUUUUCUUUUGUAUUUUAAUAGAGAUGGGGUUUCACCAUGUUGGUCAGGCUGGUCUCAAACCCUAACCUCAAAUGAUCCACCUGCCUUGGCCUCCCAAUGUGCUGGGAUUACAGGUGUGAGCCACCACACCCGGCCAUCUCUCCAGUUCUUUGUUGUCGUUUCCAGAAGCAGCAAAUGUCCCAAGGGGAAAAGAGGCCCAGUUAUUGGGCUUGCCUCCUUGAAUACCCAUCUUUCUCCAGCUCUUCAUUGGUGAUUCUUCAUUAUCUUUUUAAGUCUGAUGUUUUCAAGCACAUUUUAUUUUAAUUUUUUCCCACUUUUCUAAUUGUUCUCAGCAGGACAGUAGGUCUGAAUUUAGUCUGCUAUUACCAGAUGGUAGGAAAUAGACAGGUAUGCUUCAUUUUGUCAUAGUUUGCUUUACUACACUGCAGAUAUUAUAUUUUUUACAAAUUGGAGGUUCGUGGUAACCCUGCAUUGAAGAAGCCUUUAGGUGCCAUUUUUCCAACAGCAUGUGCUCACUUUUUGUUUCUGGGUCAUAUUUUGAUAAUUCUCAUAAUAUCUCAGACUUUUUCAUUAUUAUUAUAUUUGUUAUGGUAAUCUAUGAUCAGUGAUCUUUGAGAUUACUCUUGUAAUCAUUUUGGGGUGCCAUAAACUGUGCUCAUAUAAGAUGGUGAAGUUCAUUGAUAAAUGUUGUGUGUUCUGACUUCUCCACCAAUCAGCCAUUUCCCAUCUUUUACAUUCUUUUCAGUCCUCCUUAUUCCCUGAGACACAACAAUAUUGAAAUUAGACUAAUCAAUAACCCUACAAUGUCCUCUAAGUGUUCAAGUGAAAGCAAGGGUGGCACAUCCCACACUUUAAAUCGAAAGCUAAAAAUGAUUAAGCUCAGUGAGGAAUGCAUGAGGAAAAGCCAAGAGAGGCCAAAAUAGAGGGCUUUUGUGCCAAACAGGUAGCCAAGUUGUGAAUGGAAAGGAAAAGUUCUUGAAGGAAAUUAAAAGCACUACUCCAGUGAACACACAAAUGAUAAGAGAGUAAAACAGCCUUAUUGCUGAUAUGGAGAAAGUUUGAGUGGUCUGGAUAGAAGAUCAAACCAGCAACAACAUUCCUUUAAGUUAAAGCCUAAUCCAGAGCAAGGCCCUAACUCGCUUCAAUUCAAUGAAGGCUGAGAGAGGUAAGGAAGCUACAGAAGAAAAAUUAGAAGCUAGCAGAGGUUGGUUCAUGAAAUUUAAGGACAUAAACCAUUUCCACAACAUAAAGUGCAAGGUGAAGCAGCAAGCGCUCAUGUAGAAGCUGCAGCAAGUUAUCCAGAAAAUCUAGCUAAGAUUAUGGAUGGUGGUGGCUACACUAAACAAUAGAAUUUCAAUGUAGACAAAACAUCUAUCAGAAUAAGAUGCCAUCUAAGACUUUCAUAGCUAAAGAGGAGAAAGCAAUGCCUGGCUUCAACGCUUCAAGGGACAGGCUGACUGUCUUAUUAGGGGCUAAUGCAACUGGUGGCUUUAAGCUGAAGCCAAUUGCUCAUUUUCCAUACAGAAAAUCUUUGGACCCUUACAAAUUAUGCUAAACCCAGGCCAGACACAGUGGCUCAUGCCUGUAAUUCUAGCACUUUGGGAGGUCGAGGCAGGCAGAUCACUUGAGCUCAGGAGUUCGAGACUGGCCUGGGCAACAGGGUGAAACCCCAUCUCUACAAAAAAAUACAAAAACUAGCCAGGUGUGGUGAAGUGUGCCUGCAGUCCCAGCUACUCAGGAGGGUGAGGCAGGAGAAUUUCUUGAGCCUGGAGGCUGAGGUUGCCGUGAGUCAAGAUCACGCCAUUGCACUCCAGCCUGGGUGACAGGAGUGAAACCCUGUCUCAAAACAAAGAAUUGUGCUAAAUCUAUUCUGCCUGUGCUCUAUAAAUGAAAUAACAAAGCCUGAAUGACAGCACAUCUGUUUAUGGCAUGUUUACUGAAUAUUUUAAGCCUACCGUUGAGACUUACUCCUCCAGGGAAAAAAAGGGAUUCCUUUCAAAAUAUUACUUCUUGUUGGCAAAUGCAUCUAGUAACUCAAAAGCUCUGACAGAGAUGUACAAGGAGAGUAAUAUUUUCAUGCUUUUAACACAACAUCCAUUCUGCAGUCCAUGGAUCAAGAAGUCAUUUCAACUUUCAAGUCCUAUUACUUAAGAAAUGCAUUUUUUAAGGCUAUAGUUGUCAUAGAUAGUGAUUUCUCUGAUGGAUCUGGGCAAAAUCAAUUGAAAACCCUCUGCAAAGAAUUUACCAUUUUAGAUGCCCUUAAGUACAUUCACGAUUCAUGGGAGGAGGUCAGAAUAUCAACAUUAGCAGGAGUUUGGAAGAAGUUGAUUCUAACCCUCACGGAUGACUUAGAGGAGUUCAAGACUUCACUAGAGGAAGUCACUGCGGAGGUGCUGGAAACAGAAAACUAGAAUUAGAAGUGGAGCCUGAAAAUGUGCCUGAAUUGCUUCAAUCUUGUAACGGUUAAUACUGAGUGUUCACUUGAUUGGAUUGAAGGAUGCAAAGUAUUGUUCCUGGGUGUGUCUGUGUGAGCUUCCCUAGUUUUGAGGUUUUGGGACUUGGACUGGUUUCCUUGCUCCUCAGGUUGCAGAUGGCCUAUUGUGGCACUUCGCCUUGUGAUCAUGUGAGUCAGUACUCCUUAAUAAACUCCCGUUCAUUUAUACAUCUAUCCUAUAAGUUCUGCCUCUCUAGAGAACCCUAAUACAAAUUUCAUGAUAAAACUUGAACGAAAGAGGAGCUGCUUCUUAUGGAUGAGCAAAGAAAGUGAUUUCUUGAGAUGGACUCUACUCCUAGUAGAGAUGCUGUGAACAUUGUUGAAAUGACAAUAAAGGAUUUAGAAUAUUCCGUAAACUUAGUUAAUACAGAAGCAGCAGCAUUUGAGAGGACUGACUCCACUUUUGAAAGAAGUUCUACUGUUAUUAAAUGCUACCAAAUAUGGUACAGAGAAAUAUUUUGUGAAAGGAAGAGUCCAUUGACAUGGCAAGCUUCAUUACUGUCAUAUUUUAAUAACUUGCCACAGCUACCUCAAACUUCAGCAACCACCAGUCUGAUCAGUCAGUAACCAUCAAUAUCGAGGCAAGACCUUCCACCAGGAAAAAGAUUAUAACUCACUGAAGGCUCAGACGAUCAUUACUAUUUUUUUAGCAGCAAAGUAUUUUUAAUUGAGGUAUGUACAUUUUUAGACAUAAUGCUCUUGCACACUUACUAGACUACAGCAUACUGUCAACAUAACUUUUAUAGGCACUGGGAACCAAAAAUUUGUAUGAUUCACUUUGUUGCAAUACUUGCCUUACUGCGGCAGUCUGGAACCAAACCCACAAUAUCUCCAAGGUCCACCUGCAAAUGCAGGCAGUGGGCCAGGUAUACAUGCAUACAUAUGCCUUAUGUGAGGGGUGGGCACUGAGGUUAACUAGAAAGCAUGAGCCUAUUUUUGCCUUGUGGUAAUAAGGGCCUCAUAUUGCCAAAUUUUUCCAUUUUUUUCAAAAGAAGUAGGAAAGGAAAUGCAGGCUUUUAAAAUGUGAAAUCCCAAUUUUCAAUUGUUGGUUCAAAAAAAACUUAAAUCUCAACUAGCCAAAUAAAAUGCAUCUGGGGUCCACACCCAGCUACCCUAUAGGAUACUAAUUUAAAAUAUCUGGACUAUAGUCUAUAUUGAUGAGAGAAGUGGGGUGAAACUUGGCAUUCCCUUGCCAUUAACUUCUAGCCUCCCAGUAGUCCAGGCUGCCUUGAAUAAACACCAGACCAUCAUACAAAACAGAGUUUUUAUCUUAUUUAUUUAUUUAUGAGUUGGGUGUCUUGCUGCAUUACUCAGGAUGGAGUGCAGUGGCACAAUCAUAGUUCACUGAGGCCACGAACUGCUGUGCUCAAGUGAUCCUCUCACCUCAGCCUCCUGAGUAGCUGGGACUACAGGUGUAUGCCACCACAUAAGGCUAAUUUUAAUUUGUUUUUGAGAGACAGAGUCUUGCUAUGUUGCCCAGGCUGGUCUUAAACUCCUGGCCUCAAGCAAUCUUUCCACCUUGGCCUCUGAAAGUACUAGGAUUAUAGAAGUGAGCCGCUAUGCUUGACCAAAACACAGUUUUUAAAUCAAUUUAUGUCUUUACUGAAAUCUCUUAAAGAUGCCAAAGGGUGGGGUUUGGGUUCCAUUCAUAACACCAACAUUUCUGAAGAAUCCUCUUCUCUUGUCUCUUUCUCAAGUCCUCCUCAUGACAUCUGUGUUAGUCCGUUCUCACACUGCUAUGAAGGACUGCCUGAGACUGGGUAAUUUAUAAAAGAAAGAGGUUUUAAUUGACUCACAGUUCCACAGGGGUGGGAAGGCCUCAGGCGGAAGGGGAAGCAACCACAUCCUUCUUCACAUAGCGGCAGGAAGGAGAAGUGCCAAGCAAAGGGGAAAAGCCUUUCAUAAACCCAUCAGGUCUCAUGAGAACUCAAGAAGAGCAUGGGGAUAUGUGGAGGAAAAGUUAAAUCUUAAAUUUGAACUCAAUUGAAUGUGGACACAAACAAUGGUCACCAAGUCCCAGAACAGGUUGCAUGAGCCCCUUGAGGCGUUCAUCCAGACGGUUUUGGAGAAAUCUGUUCCUGUAUGUUAGUUAUUGAAAAACAACAAACAAUCAUAAAAACAAGUUGACCUUUUUGUGUUCCUUGAGUCCAGUCAUGAAGGGCCCUCGUGACUGGGCCUCAUGCCAAAUAAGUCGUUACAAAAAGAACUAGGGUCCCAUACCACGCCAAAGCUUCAUGAGACCUCUCCUCAUCUGUGCAUGGAUGAGCGGUCAACUCUGGAGCCCAGGCUGUUGCUUCCCUGUCUGGUGAUGAAUCCUCUAUAGUCUGGUAAGUGUAGUGGCCGACUCUGGAGCCCAGGCUGUUGCUUCUGGUCUGGUGAUGAAUCCUCCAUCGUCUGGUGAGUGUGUGUGUAUAUAUAUAUAGUCUAUAUUGAUGGGAGAAGUGGGGUGAAAGUUGGCAUGCCCUUGCCAUUAACUUCUAGCCUCCCAGUAGUCCAGGCUAUAUAUAUAUAUCUUCUCCCUUUUCCCCUUCCCAUUGCAAUUUGCUUGUAUCAUUUGCUUAUUAUAUCUGCAUUGCCAUUUACAUGGGAUAAAGGUUGUUUACCCUUGAAGGUAUUGCAUGUGUGUCUUUUCUUUUCCCUUUGUGCAUCUCCCUCAUAGAAAAGAGUAACCGCCCCCAUGAUUCAAUUGCCUACCACUGGGUCCCUCCCACAACACGUGGGGAUUAUAGGAACUACAAUUCAAGAUGAGAUUUGGGUGGGGACACAGCCAAACCAUAUCAACAGCCCAGCAGCUACUUCAGUCCUCCUUAAUUUAUCUCUUGAAUUCUCCCAAACCCAGCUCAUCCCUGGCUUGUUUCUCUUAUUCUUUCUCUCGCCUUCUGAUCCAUUCUGCUUUCGUUAGUAUGUAACUCCCUGCCUUCUCUUAGGUAGACCCAUCAACCCAUCCUACCCAUGGUACUGCACAAUUCAGAAUCCUUUCCCAAAUUUUCCCUUAUUAUGCACAAGAAAUACUCCAGGGCCAGGUGCAAUGGCUCACGCCUGUAAUCCCAGAACUUUGGAAGGCUGAGGCAGGAGGAUCGCUUGAGCCCAAGAGUUCAAGGCUGUAGUUAGUGAUGUUGGUGCCACUGCACUCCAGCCUAGGCAACACAACAAGACACUAUCUCAAUUAAAAGAAAAAAAAAGAAAAAAGAAAAAGAAAUACUCCAGAACUUGGCUAGUGAAGACUAAUUCCUCCUUCACAGGAAGGAAGUGGGGGCAGGGGAAAAUGAUGCUGUAAAUACUCUAAAAUAUGUAUUUUUUCCUGUCCCAUCAGCUAUGCCAUCUGGGAUGGGGUGACGCCUGGAUGAGAUGUCAUUUUAAAGGACAUUUCUGGGACAUGCUGGCAUCAAGGCAAGUUUUCAGGCUGGAAGCCAUUUGGGCAGAGGCAGAAUCUGGGCUCAGAGUCUAGCCCUGCAGGACCCAGUGUGGCAGCUGCGUGUCUCUGGAGCACUGGAGAGGGGGCUACUGCAAAUUAAGAUCUGCUGUAAAGAGCAUCUUCCUGGUUAUUCUCUGGGACGCAAAACCAUGGUGGUAUCUGAUCUCAUCACACUUCUGCCAGGAGGUGAAAUCGAAGAGGCUACAUUCUUGAUGCUCAGUGUCUUCUUCAGGUCAUUUGCCUGAGGACACCUGGGGAUACUGAGCUAUGAAAAGAAAACAUUUGGAAGAUCACUGAUUCCUUCAUGGAGAGGCUGGCUUGGGAAUAGAUGACGUGUCAAAGAUUGACAUCAACCUUGAGUGCUUAUUUGUGGACUUGAGAUACAGAUAAAAAAAAAAAAAAAAAAACCUCCCUAGAGUGAGGGCUACUUGGGAUACAUGCUAUAUCCCAAGGAGUUCUCAGUUUGAGGUCAGCCCCAGCUCUACAACUCACCAGGAGAGUGCGCGAGGAUGAGGGAGAGACAGCCUGCUCUGGUUCUCUUCAAGGUGACAAUGACACCUGUUGACAGAUGAGAAUUCCAGCCAGGAAUACAGAUUUAGGAAUCAUGUUUCUCACUCUCAUGAUGACAUAGAAGAGAUGCGUCUGAAUCUUUCUGCCAGUGUGUUAAAGUUAUUCUGAUAUUGACUGUAGUUCUGAGCUUUGUCUCUAUCCCACCAAACCACUAACUUCUGGAAAUUACUUGUAGACCAAGAUGGGAGGACUCCGUGUGUGGCUCCAUAUGAAUGACUUAUCGUGCCUGUCCAGAGUCAGGGAAAGGAGAAACAAUCUUAUUUGAGAAGGGAGGAUAUCACUGCAGUGGUUGUGAAAUCGUGUUUGGAAGCUAGAUUGCUCUAGACCACUAAGCUCUCUUCAUGUGACAAAGAAACUUCCUAAAAUACUAAAAGCUAAAGGAGAUUGUUAUCUAAGCUUGAGAUGGAAGGUUGCCAGCGGAAACUUGGAGGAUCACAGCCAGUCGCCUGGGAUUGACCACAGGGAGUGGCAGAGGCAGAAAGCAAAAGACCAGUUGCAAUUAUCCAGAAUCCUGAAUUGAGCCUGUGUUCCCAGUUCCUAGAAACCCUCAAGGUUAUUGGUUUCCUCCUCGCUUAAUAGACCAGUGGAAGAAAUCUACCUCCAGUUCUAUCUUCACAUGAGCAACUGUUUACAGUUUACAAUAUUACUCUGAAAAUCAGUUCUUUUCAAGUUUUAUCUAACACCCACCAGAAGAAACAGAAGAUUAUGAAAAUGGAAUUUGUCAAAGUUCCUCUCCCAACAAUAUGAUAUUUAAUUUUGCUAACAUUUUUUUUUGAACACUUACUAUAUUGCAGACAAUGGUCUAAGUAAAGCAUUUUAUGUGCAUCCUAUCAUGUCAUCAUCACACAGCCCUGUGAGGUAGAUACUAUUAUUAUUAACCACAUUUCACAUUCAAAAAAACUGAGGCUUAGAGAGACUAAGUAAAUUGUCCAAGGUCACACAGCCAUGAAGUGGCAGAGCUGUGGUUAAAACCUAUGUCUGUCUGAUGUUUAAGAUUUUGCUGUUAGCAUUACUUUGAAAUGACAAUAUGAGGGCAUUUUAUGUAUUUUUUUUGCCCCAAUAUGAUCUGCAGAAACUAUGUAUUUUAAGUACUACAUUUCUUUUAUUUACCAAAUUAUUGUCAGAUAAGAAACCGAAAUAAAAGUUUACAGGGUCUAGGAUUCCUCCAUAAUGAAUGAACUUUGGGGUAUUUCAGUGACAAAUUGGCUUUAACGCGAUCAAAUUCCAUCCUACAAUGAAAGUGUGUUAGUUUGUGGUUUCAAGUUUAAAAACAGCACUGUAUUGUCUUCCAGAAAUAUAUAAAUAGAAAUUCAAGAAGUAUUUCAAUGAAUACAGAUAAAAUUAGUUUUGUUAGAACAUCAAAUAUGUGGGUUUCAUUUCUUAGCUCAGUUUAGAAACUGUAAUUUCAAUUUUUUUUAGCAGCUGUGGUAAAUUUUGAGAUUUGAAAUUUCAUAUAAUAUAAAUCCUCAUUUAUUGAGCAUUUAAAUUAUAUGCCCAACAAUUUACUGUGUACAUUACUUCACUUGUUCUUAACUAUAACUCUACAAAAUAUUAUUGUCCUUGAUUUAUAGAUGAAGAUAUUGAGACUCAGUUAAGUAACUUGCUUGAAAUUCAAAAACGUUAACUGUGGAAGGCAGUAUUUGAACCCAGUGUUCAAAACCCCAUGCUCUUUUUAUUAUAUGACCUUAUUUCCUAUUCAGUCUUCAGAAGAUAUAUUGUCUUAUUAGAUUAUUCUCGUUCUCUAAAUAAGUGACCUUGGGCAACUAUCUUUUUCCCUGGUAUUUUCCCCUGCCUUUAAAACAAUGUGAUCAAACUGGAAGUUUUUCACGAUCUCUCUUAGCCCUAAAGCUCCUUGGUUCUGUAAUUCCACCAAUAGCCCAUUUCAAAAAUAAUUCUACAGUAAUCAGUGGGACUCCUGUUUUUCCCAUCUUUUUUUUUUUUGAAACAGAAAAUUGAAACUUUUAAAUUAGUUUAGUAAAUACAUCUACUAGUUUUUUUCUUUUAUAGUCAUGGUUAUAUUAUUUGGUCCUUCUUAGUUGCAACAUGUUUCCUUGCUGUCAAUUUAUAAUACCUCUCAUCAACAAUAGCCUGAAGAAAUAGAUUUGAAUUGCUUUCCCUAAUUUAUAGCUGGAAAACUAGGCUACGCUGGUAUCUUAAAUUGACUUUCCUGAGGUCACGGGCACUCAGUGCCAAGAGGAGUUGGUACCUACGCAUUUGAAAUUUCUGGAUUUCUGGUCUUACUCUGUACUUAGUCACUCUUUUCUUUCAUUUGGCCCUAUGGUGGGCAAACUACAGCCUACAGGCCAAUUCCAGCCUACCAUCUGUUUUUGUAUGGUCCAUGAACUAAGAAUGGUUAUCACAUUUUAAAAUGGUGGGAAAAAAAGACUAUUUUGUGACAUAAAAAUUAUAUGAAAUCCAAAUUUCAGUGUCUAUAAAUUUUGUUGGAAUAUAGUUACCACACUCAUUCUUUUAUGCACUGUUUUUGGCUGGUUUUCUGCCUCAACAGCAGAGUUGAGUAGGUGCAACCAAGACUGUAUGGCCUACAAAGCCUAAAAGUUUGUUAUAGAAAAGUUUGCUGACCAACUCUAUUGGUUGCUUAGUAUUGCUAGGCACUCUGCAAGUCACAGGGAACACAGCAAACUAGACACAUGACUGCCUUGGGCUUAAGAAGAGGUUUCUAAACUUUUGAAUAAAAAACAAAACAAACAACAAACAAAGUUGGAGGGACAUAAAACUUCCAAAUAUUAAUUUUGCCAGUGGGGUUUGUUUGUUUUUUUGUUUGAGAUGGAGUCUUGCUCUGUCACCCAGGCUGGAGUGCAAUGGCGCGAUCUCGGCUCACUGCAACCUCUGCUUCCUGGGUUCGAGCAAUUUUCUUGUCUCAGCUUCCAGAGUAGCUGGGAUUACAGGCACCCGCCACCACGCUUGGCUAAUUUUUUUGUAUUUUUAGCAGAGACGGGUCUGGUCUCGAACUCCCGACCUCAGGUGAUUCGCCCAGCUCCUGGGCGUGAGCCCCAGUGGGUAUUUCUUAAAAACACAGCUACUAUUUUCACUCAUCAUUUUAUUUAAAAAAGGAGUAUGUUAAUACAAAAAAGUAUAUUAAUGCCAAAUUUGUAGGAAGAACAUAAUCUCAAAAAGCA
RNAcentral lists this long non-coding RNA (13627 nucleotides) under Homo sapiens (human). RNAcentral describes it as "non-protein coding lnc-ARHGAP26-4:22". The stretch from base 6754 to 6819 matches the Rfam family "mir-1255 microRNA precursor family". The record is from RNAcentral. Lineage: Eukaryota; Metazoa; Chordata; Mammalia; Primates; Hominidae.